CCUCAGGCUAUGUUAUAAUUUUGUACUACUUAUUCUUAGAUCAGUUACCAUAAUCAUUUGUAUUUGUGUUUCGAACUUGCCACUUUAUAAUAGCGUUUCGUAUAUCAUGAUCGAUGUAUUCAGUGGAGUAAAACAUAUUAGUCCGAAUAGCUUGAUUGAUGUCUCUUGUGUCCAUAUCACAUUACUAUUACAAGGAUUGAUGUACAUUUUAAAUCUAAUAUAUUACGUAGCGAUAGAUAUUAAUAAAUAGUUUGUGAUUUUAUAAAAACUGUUCAUUAAAUCAUAAACGGAGAGGUAAUGAAAUAAAUACCACCAUCAAUUGAAUAUAGCAAGAACUUUAUAAAAGACGAGGCAGACUCACAGAUGGUUUAAGUAUAUUAGUAUAUGUCUCAAAACUCUGAGAAACGUAUGACGGUUUUGUAUUCGCAUUUUUUUUAUUCUUUUUUAAAAUUUUUUUUUUUUUCUUUCAAAUAGAUCACACAUGAAAAAAAGUUGUUGCAUAAAGAGAUGUGUUUAUAUCGUGCGUAAAAAGUACGAACAUACAUCAAUCGAAAAAGAGUUUUAGUCAAGGAUAGAAGCUGAAAAAGGAAACGCUCGACUAGAUUUGAUAAACUCCCUCUUGUUAUGUUGUAUUAUGAAUUGUCGAAAUUAACGUGUUUUUCUUCUUAUCUAACCUUAACGACCAAAACUCAUUAACUCGUUAUCGUAAAAAUAUACAUAUAGUGUCGAUCGUAUGCAAAUUAUUUAUUACUUAUCGUUUAUCAGUUAUUAUCAUAUUUUAGAAAAAUAAUUGUUUAUUUCUAAUUAUAAACAAGAGAAAGCAUGACAAUAAAAUAUGAGAAUAUUGAUAAUAUUGUAAGAGGGAGUUCUAUUAUUAAGAAAAAACGUGACUUUCGCUCCUAUUGGAGGAGUAUCGGGAAAAAUGUACAACGAGGAAAAUUAUUUCGAAUAAAAUAAUUUGCUUCGCAAGCGAUUGUAGUUUUGUAAAUUAACGUGUGAAUCGUUUUUAUCGCGAAAAUGACAAGGAAAUUGAUAUUAUUUUAUGAUAUCAUCGUCCAUCAGCGCGAUAUGACUUCAGAAUAGAACUUCGAUAGAAUAUCGAAUGAAAAAUCGAUUUUCAGUGUUUCGAUUUUUACCAUGAUCUUCGAUACUUAUCGAUUUUUGUUAGUUAAGUCGGGUUAUGGAGCGUUGAUAUUUGUGAAUAUUGUGAAAUUUGACAGAAUAAAAUAAAAAGAAAAAAAUUAAUACGAUUUUGAAAGAUUUGAGAAAUAAGGAUGAAAACCGAUAACCUAGAAACAGGUACAAUAUUAACGUCCUUCCUCUCCUCUGAAUCCCGACGCUUUUGAAAAGAGUUACAGACGCGGAAUAUCGAUAGACAAAAAUUAAUUAUGCGACGUUGGAGUGGGGAAGAGCAAUAUCGGAUGGAAUUCACGGAACGAAUGGAAAAUAGAAGCUGAUUUUUCAAAUUCAUCGAUUCAUCAAUGGAUCGUUCAAUAUCGAUUUCCAAAGGUUAAUUGACACACGAUGACGCAAAAGAAUCGGAAAUUUAAUAAAACAAUCUUAUUCUGAAGAAAGAGGUUAUGAAUGGUGGAAAAGAAAAUAUAUAAGUGCAUGAAAAAUAUGUAGUGGUGGUAAGAGAUGGAAUCAAGAAUCAAGUCGAAAAGAGAGAAAGAAAGAGAGGAAUGAAGCUCCUUGACCCGACUGAUUUGAUAAAUUCCAAGCAUUUCUGCCAUUCUAUAGCGUAGUUAUAUGUGUGUAAAUAUGUAUUCCGCUUGGUGUUCUACAUUUCUUAGCGAUGAUACCCGCACCCGGCCCUCGCGAGAAUGAGUUUAAUUGACUGAAGUGCCGAGCCGAAUCGCGGGUGCUUUGAAGCAUGUAUGGAAGUUCGUUAAUAUCGACGAUAUGUGGGAGACGGGUUUGUUACGAUAUUUUAAAUCUCAAUAUCCGAUUAACUCUCAUUUGGUUUAUACAUAUUAUUCAGAAUUUUAUAUAUUAUUUAUGGUUAAACAUAAUAUAUACGACACGUGAAUGAGAUUUCUAAGAUUAUUAAGAAAUAAAAAGUAAGAAGAUAUGGAAAAUCUAAAUGUGCGAAUAAACGUAACUGUAGAAUGUUUCGGAAUAUCAGAUGUCGAGGCUUUUGAAAAUUGAAUACCACUUGAACUAACUGAAAUGCUUGCGCUGUUGCUAUUCUAGAUAUCCAAAACAUCCAGAUAUUAGAUACCUUACGUAUCCCGAAUAUUGAACAGAAUAUUUCACGUUUCAAAUAUUCGAAUUCCGUUUCUUUCAAAGGUAUCGUGUCGACAUUUAUCCGCAGCAUUAACUAGAACUCGCCAAAGCGGAAAUCGCUGGUUUAUCGCGCUGACAGACGCGGGGAUUUAAUCGUUCGAUCGGAUUAGAUGCGAUUGUCAGAGCUGCUGUCACGCCUGUCGCAAGCGUUUCGAUUAGAAAAUUGAAAACCGUGGAACAGGAGUGUUUAGACUGGCUUGAAGGAGGGACACAGGAGGGAGAUUCCUGUAAACGGUUCGGUUUCUUUAAUACAUUGUUCGCUUUUUGUGCGGACGCAAAACGUUGCGAUCGAUAAAAUCUGACAAAUUACACAACAAUACAAUGACGUUAGAUACGAUCGGUCUCUUGUCGCCGAUAAAAAAAAAA
Long non-coding RNA from Apis mellifera (honey bee), 2652 nucleotides. RefSeq lists it as uncharacterized. The transcript has 6 exons. The record is from RefSeq and is a predicted model, not a curated record. NCBI's taxonomy places the organism in Eukaryota, Metazoa, Arthropoda, Insecta, Hymenoptera, Apidae.